RNAcentral lists this long non-coding RNA (249 nucleotides) under Lathyrus oleraceus (garden pea). Its description in RNAcentral is "Pisum sativum (pea) long non-coding RNA (PSAT_LNC016565)". Lineage: Eukaryota; Viridiplantae; Streptophyta; Magnoliopsida; Fabales; Fabaceae. The record is from RNAcentral.
GCAGCUGCUCCACCAUAUUAAACUCGCUUUUCUUGAUCAAACGAAGUACCUCAUCAUCAUCAUUAGCCUUCAAAUUGCUGGAUUCACAAGACUGACACCUUGAAGUACUAGUUGGAUCUACAACAUGCACUUCCACCUUCUUACUGACAGUUGAUUCUUCCUUAUCUUUUGGGAACACCGGCCCAAACACUCAACCACUAUGGGUCACCUUAGUAACAUCAUCAAUGCUCACUACAGAGCUGGUCGUAG